GUUAGAUGUAAUAGGCUGGAGCUCAGGUGAAAGGUCAAGCUAGGGAUAUUCAUUUGGAACUGAUGAAUUUUGGUGUUUUAUAUUUAAGGUCACAAGACUGAAAGAGACCACCUGCAUUAUGGGUAUAAACAGAAAAGAGAAGGGGCUCCAUGAGUUAAAUUUUCUGACAUUGAGAUGCUGGGGAAAGGAAGAGGAGCAGCAAAGGAAACAGAGAAGGUGGUGGGAAAAUGAAACCAGAUGGCAACUAGGAGAUGUAGGAAAGAAUAAAGAGCCACUAAUAAGUGCUGGAGGUUGAAUUGUCCAAGACCAAGGUCCAGCAUGAUUGCGAGGAGCCCUGGCUCACAGAUUUCUUGUGUCCUUACGUGGUGGCAGGAGAUGGCUCAUGAUGGAGAAAGCCUGUCAUCAUGUCACGAUGGUAUGGAAACAGCUCAUGGAGAGGGACAUGGAAGCUCCUUCCAAAAACUGGCACCAGGUGUAUUCAGUGAUCACACUGUGUCAGAUAUCUUCCAACUAGUCACUGGCCUGCAACAAAGCUGGAAUGAGGUCUCAGAGAUGAGAUUUUCCUGUGCUAAUGACACUCCUGAGAUGUGGUAAGGAAAAUAGUGUCUUUUUAUAUGUAAGGGCAGUUUUCACAGCAACAUGUUACUGUUUUUUAUUUCAUCCAGUCAUGUGACUUUACAGAUUACAUUAACUAAACUCACAUUACAUAUACUGAUAAUGUAAACACUACUGAGGUAUAAAGCCUUGAUUGAAAUGGUUGAUUCAUAUAAAUUCUAAAAUAGUCUCUUUUUAGGGUAUGUGAUGAGGUUAAAGUAAUAAAAUAUUAAAUAUAAUAAGAAAUCUGUUUAAAACUUCAAAAUUAUCAAGAUUGUUUAGCAGUCUUUGAAUAAUGACACUUCUCUAGAGUGCUGAUGACAAUAUGAAGGCAUCAUGAUUAGGGACAUUUUCAAAAACUAAGCAUGAAGAAUACAAAAACUUUACUACUUAUUUCAUUUAGGACAUUGAAACUCAGCAUGAAAAAUUGUUUUAGAAUGUUUUCACUAAACUUGAUGAUAAAUGGUCAAUGGAUGAUUUUGGAGUUUCUACUUAGUAGCAAAAGUUAAACCAUCAAGUACAUUAGAGAAAGGGCACUAUGAUACAAUUGCUUACCUUGGUCAGGAUCUAGUAUUGGAAAAUAAAAAUUCUUGUAAUUAAAAAAGUACUGAAUGUAUAUGAGAAUAAUGUAUUAAACAAUGUACUCAUUUUGGAAGUUUUGAUAUACAGUGGCUUAAAAACAGAUGUUCAAAACCAAUCUCAGAUUGUUUCACACAGAUGGUUUUAGGGAUGAAACAUUGUUUUUCAUAGGAUGCUAAAAUACCAGGGAUUAUCUUAUUGACUACAAAUGUUUUCCUUCAUAACAAAAUAUUUUAAGGUGUUGGAUCUGUUUUCUGUGUGAUUUUUAAGAGAAUUCUAAUGUAAGUUUCCAGCUAGAACUAUACACCUAAAUAUAUUGCUUACAUCACUCAAACAAAAACACAGGGAAAUGCAAAGUGGACAAAAUACAGUGGAGUAUCAUCAAUGUGGUUUUUUAAAAACAAUCUUUAAUAGUGAUAUCUUUAAACACUACAUAGUGACAUGGGUAAUGGCUUUGCAACUUUUAUCUUAAAAAAGGUUACCUAAAUAUUAGAGUGAAAAACACAAAAAUGACAUGGUUAGAGGUACAUUGAACAUUGUCUUUUCACCAGGCUAGGUGUUCUACAUGAGUCGACAUUUUCUCUGAUCUAGUUGUCAGUCAUGUGUUAUCUAUCAGUUCUAAAUUUAAAAAGAUUUUUUUUUCCUUCACAACCCAGCUGUCUUUUAAUAGAACUUCUGGAAGAGGAAAUACAUUUGUGUGCUUCAAAAUGCAAGAAUAAAAAAGAGUGAAUAGCCCGCUUUCUCUAGCCAGUUUCUUACGUAUUCUUCCAGACUUUAUGAUUAUAUAAGAAAAUAAAAAUACAUAUUCUUAUCUCCUCCCUUCUUUUCACAUAGAAUGUAGCAUCUUAUACAUACUAGUCUUGGAGGUCUUUCCAUUGCAAUAUAUAUAAUACAUCAUCAUUCUUAUUUUUAAAAUAGUUGAUAUUCUUUACAUGGAUUUGCCACAGUUCAUUUACAAACCCCCCAUUGGUGAAUAUUUGUGGUAGACUAUGUCAGUUUUUACCAAUAUCCAUUUCCUGACCUUUGAGAUUGCACUUCUCUAUCCCUGUUUGGCCUUAUGUCUUGUUUUGACCAAAGAAAUAUGAAUGGCAGUGACAUGUCACUUAUGGUACAAACUUUAAGGGAUGGUGAAUAUUUUGCCAUGUUUUCUCUUCCUCUUACCAUCUCUCUCCUCCUUCUUAACCAAUGAAACCAUCACAAUUAUUUGCUCAACCUGAAAAAAACGUACCCCUUCCAUGUAUACUCUAGAAGGAGUACAGUAAUUAGAAUUCAUGCUAAACAUCUUGUGUGAAUGAGAAACACACUUUUAUUGCUAAAAUCCACAGAGGAUUUGUUUUUAUUUGUUACCACAGCAUUACCUUGACAAUCACGGUUGAUGCGAAAAAUGGUGCCAGAAUCUGUGUGUGUGCUACCCUCAUAUAGAUCUAUGUGUCAUUGACAUCAUGGUUGGGAAAUAAAUGGCAAGAGCAAUUUUUUUUUUUAAAGCUGGAAGGAUGGAGGUCUACAUUGUGCUGUGGAAAAACAGUGAUAAAACUGUAAUGUGCAAUAACUUGGCAUCAGUAACAUCCCUUAUAAUUUUGUGUGAACGUUGGAAAACAAUAUUAGUCAUGUGAGUUGUCUACUGUUAACUAUACCUGAAGAAAAAGAAGAAGGAAUAAGCCCUACUGAAAUUGCCAACUUGAAAGGAAAAAUGAAAAGGAAGAGAGAGGGUCCUGAAAAUUAGGACUUGAGGAUUCCAAGAGGAAAUUGUGUCUUGAUUUCUAACAGUAAAAAGUAAAAUUAAGAGGAAAAGUCUGUGAAAUCUGCCUUGUAGCAAAGAUCAUAUAAAACAUAUGGACUAUAAAAGAAUAGCUAAAACAUCUGAACAGGUUGUGUGGCCAGCAGUACAUUCUUUUUGCUGGAAAGAUGGUUUCAUGAAAAAGACUAAGAAUGUUAUUUUCUUUAAAACUCUAUUAACUCAAGACAUCAAAUUAAGUGUACAUAAAGAGGUGUGUCUUGAGAAGAAUUGUGAGUGUGGCUGUUUGUACAUAAUGCCGAUUGAAAUCAAAUAAAUGAGGUCAAUAAACUAUUUGAGAGAGUUAUACUGUUAAGAGAAAUACUAAUUUGUACUAAAUAGACUAUUGUGCCUGUAACUCUGUUGGCAGAAAAUGGGCUGAAAAAGCUUUUCCACCACUUAAAAAGUUAUGGUGUCACAUUUCUUCAGCUGUAGCCUCGGAAGGGUGUACUCAAGUACCAUCGAUACUGAGGACUGGGAAUUGCCCUUAGGAAGACAAAGCAGAGGUUUGUUCUCCACUUUCAGGACAAAAGCUCAUUUCUGUACAUGGACAGCAUGAAGUGGCUGUGCUAAAUGAGAGUAAUUGCUGUGCUUCUCCGUGUUUCUCCAUCUGCAUGGAAGUAUUCUUGUUUCACUACUGUGUGUCUGCUAGACAGUGUUCAUCUGUGCAAGGUGAAUGCAUGGAAUGACAAGACCUAGGGCUUGAAGAUCGAAGAAGUAAAUGGAUGGGGUGUUUGGGUAGUUUCCCUUGGGAGGAGGUGAGUGUGUAAAUGAGAAAGGGAGAGAACCAGAGUUUUACUGAUUUGAAAAGAAAACUCUGGUCAAUCCUACUACAGUUCUCCAAUAUUCACUUUCCUACUAUGGAAGAGAAUUAUGGUCAAAUUCCUUCUCUCAUUAUGGGCAAAAUUGGCCACACACCUUGCUUUUGCCAAAGGAAAAAAUGUAAAUUGAAUUGAGGCCGUCAGAAUUUCUAUAUCAUAUGGCAGACUUCGACAUUUUCUUUUCUCUUCCAUCACUACGGCCCUCCAUGCAAUCCAGACAGUUCCUGUUUCCUAUACAUUCUUUAAGCAGAAUCCAUAAAGACCCUCACUGAGCAUGUAGCAUGAGGAAUAACUAGAACUUUACUGUUUUAAACCAUAAAAAUCUUGGCAUGGUAUACUUCAGCCUGAUACACAAGUUUUCUCCAAACUUUUGCUCUAACAAGUACAAUUGCAGUGACUUAAAAACAUCUAAGGGGAAUUGAAGUUUAAAUUCUCAAAGUGGAAUUAUUAUCAAUUUACAUUUAUUUGCUAGGAGUUUAUGAGAUACUUGUUUAUUAACACUUGUCAAGAAAAUUUUGGUAAUGCAUUUAGCAUGGUCAAUCUGGAAAGUGAAAAUUUUGAAAAUGAGCAAAAAAGUUAAUGUUUGUGAGAGAAACUCAUCCU
Non-coding RNA from Sus scrofa (pig), 4371 nucleotides. The record is from RefSeq and is a predicted model, not a curated record. NCBI's taxonomy places the organism in Eukaryota, Metazoa, Chordata, Mammalia, Artiodactyla, Suidae.